GUUAAUAUUUUUUUCAAGUUGUUAUAUUGUAACAUUUUAAUUUACAUUGAAUCAAAGAAAGUCAAGUAUUAAUUCUGAUCACCAAUGACUAGAGAUGUCAAAAUGGGUAACCCAACUCAACUCAACUCAUAAUCAAAUGAGUUUAGGGUUAAAUGAGUUAUGGGUUGACCCAACUCAUUUGAUGGGUUGAGUUAUUAAAUGAGUUAACCCAUUUAAGUAAUAAUUUAAUUAAUUAUAAAUAAAAAACAAUAA
This 252-nucleotide small RNA is filed under the name Arabidopsis thaliana (thale cress). RNAcentral describes it as "ATSL052150". The record is from RNAcentral. Lineage: Eukaryota; Viridiplantae; Streptophyta; Magnoliopsida; Brassicales; Brassicaceae.